AAAUUGAAGAGUUUGAUCAUGGCUCAGAUUGAACGCUGGCGGCAGGCCUAACACAUGCAAGUCGAACGGUAACAGGAAGCAGCUUGCUGCUUCGCUGACGAGUGGCGGACGGGUGAGUAAUGUCUGGGAAACUGCCUGAUGGAGGGGGAUAACUACUGGAAACGGUGGCUAAUACCGCAUAACGUCGCAAGACCAAAGAGGGGGACCUUCGGGCCUCUUGCCAUCAGAUGUGCCCAGAUGGGAUUAGCUUGUUGGUGAGGUAACGGCUCACCAAGGCGACGAUCCCUAGCUGGUCUGAGAGGAUGACCAGCCACACUGGAACUGAGACACGGUCCAGACUCCUACGGGAGGCAGCAGUGGGGAAUAUUGCACAAUGGGCGCAAGCCUGAUGCAGCCAUGCCGCGUGUAUGAAGAAGGCCUUCGGGUUGUAAAGUACUUUCAGCGGGGAGGAAGGUGUUGUGGUUAAUAACCGCAGCAAUUGACGUUACCCGCAGAAGAAGCACCGGCUAACUCCGUGCCAGCAGCCGCGGUAAUACGGAGGGUGCAAGCGUUAAUCGGAAUUACUGGGCGUAAAGCGCACGCAGGCGGUCUGUCAAGUCGGAUGUGAAAUCCCCGGGCUCAACCUGGGAACUGCAUUCGAAACUGGCAGGCUUGAGUCUUGUAGAGGGGGGUAGAAUUCCAGGUGUAGCGGUGAAAUGCGUAGAGAUCUGGAGGAAUACCGGUGGCGAAGGCGGCCCCCUGGACAAAGACUGACGCUCAGGUGCGAAAGCGUGGGGAGCAAACAGGAUUAGAUACCCUGGUAGUCCACGCCGUAAACGAUGUCUACUUGGAGGUUGUGCCCUUGAGGCGUGGCUUCCGGAGCUAACGCGUUAAGUAGACCGCCUGGGGAGUACGGCCGCAAGGUUAAAACUCAAAUGAAUUGACGGGGGCCCGCACAAGCGGUGGAGCAUGUGGUUUAAUUCGAUGCAACGCGAAGAACCUUACCUGGUCUUGACAUCCACAGAAGAAUCCGAGAGAUGGAUUUGUGCCUUCGGGAACUGUGAGACAGGUGCUGCAUGGCUGUCGUCAGCUCGUGUUGUGAAAUGUUGGGUUAAGUCCCGCAACGAGCGCAACCCUUAUCCUUUGUUGCCAGCGGUUAGGCCGGGAACUCAAAGGAGACUGCCAGUGAUAAACUGGAGGAAGGUGGGGAUGACGUCAAGUCAUCAUGGCCCUUACGACCAGGGCUACACACGUGCUACAAUGGCGCAUACAAAGAGAAGCGACCUCGCGAGAGCAAGCGGACCUCAUAAAGUGCGUCGUAGUCCGGAUUGGAGUCUGCAACUCGACUCCAUGAAGUCGGAAUCGCUAGUAAUCGUGGAUCAGAAUGCCACGGUGAAUACGUUCCCGGGCCUUGUACACACCGCCCGUCACACCAUGGGAGUGGGUUGCAAAAGAAGUAGGUAGCUUAACCUUCGGGAGGGCGCUUACCACUUUGUGAUUCAUGACUGGGGUGAAGUCGUAACAAGGUAACCGUAGGGGAACCUGCGGUUGGAUCACCUCCUUA
This 1543-nucleotide ribosomal RNA is filed under the name Salmonella enterica subsp. enterica serovar Enteritidis. RNAcentral describes it as "bacterial SSU rRNA". It matches the Rfam family "Bacterial small subunit ribosomal RNA". Lineage: Bacteria; Pseudomonadati; Pseudomonadota; Gammaproteobacteria; Enterobacterales; Enterobacteriaceae. The record is from RNAcentral.